GUGAGGAAUAUUGGUCAAUGGGCGAAAGCCUGAACCAGCCAUGUCGCGUGAAGGAUGAAGGUCCUAUGGAUUGUAAACUUCUUUUGCAGGGGAAUAAAGUACGGUACGUGUACCGUUUUGUAUGUACUCUGCGAAUAAGGAUCGGCUAACUCCGUGCCAGCAGCCGCGGUAAUACGGAGGAUCCAAGCGUUAUCCGGAUUUAUUGGGUUUAAAGGGUGCGCAGGCGGGUUGAUAAGUCAGCGGUGAAAGUUUGCAGCUUAACUGUAAAAUUGCCGUUGAAACUGUCGAUCUUGAGUGCAAAUGAGGUAAGCGGAAUGUGUUGUGUAGCGGUGAAAUGCUUAGAUAUAACACAGAACACCGAUUGCGAAGGCAGCUUACUGGGAUGCAACUGACGCUCAUGCACGAAAGCGUGGGGAUCAAACAGGAUUAGAAACCCUGGUAGUCC
RNAcentral lists this ribosomal RNA (445 nucleotides) under uncultured bacterium. Its description in RNAcentral is "partial 16S ribosomal RNA". It matches the Rfam family "Bacterial small subunit ribosomal RNA", at positions 354 to 796 of the family's 1533-position model. The record is from RNAcentral.